AUACGGAGGGAGCGAGCGUUAAUCGGAAUUACUGGGCGUAAAGCGCGCGUAGGCGGCUUUGUAAGUCGGAUGUGAAAGCCCUGGGCUCAACCUGGGAAUUGCACUCGAUACUGCAGAGCUAGAGUAUGGUAGAGGGAAGUGGAAUUUCCGGUGUAGCGGUGAAAUGCGUAGAUAUCGGAAGGAACACCAGUGGCGAAGGCGACUUCCUGGGCCAAUACUGACGCUGAGGUGCGAAAGCGUGGGGAGCAAACAGGAUUAGAAACCCGAGUAGUCC
This 274-nucleotide ribosomal RNA is filed under the name uncultured bacterium. Its description in RNAcentral is "partial 16S ribosomal RNA". It matches the Rfam family "Bacterial small subunit ribosomal RNA", at positions 523 to 796 of the family's 1533-position model. The record is from RNAcentral.